Hyla sarda is the source of this 503-nucleotide long non-coding RNA. RefSeq lists it as uncharacterized. NCBI's taxonomy places the organism in Eukaryota, Metazoa, Chordata, Amphibia, Anura, Hylidae. The record is from RefSeq and is a predicted model, not a curated record. The transcript has 2 exons.
CCCUCCAGAUGUUGCAAAACUACAAUUCCCAGCAUGCCCGGACAGCCGUUGGCUGUCCGGGCAUGCUGGGAGUUGUAGUUUUGCAACAUCUGGAGGGCCACAGUUUGAAGACCGCUGGUUUAAGGUCAUUGUACAGAUUUGUUAUCCCUCUGUGUCAAGAGCAGUACAAUAUUUUAACCUCACAUAAAUUCUGUAAGACUGUACUCAUUUGUAUUAUUAGAUUAGCUUUAUGCUUUCAUAUACCUUUGGAGUCUGUUUUUAUUCGAAAAAUAGGAAGAAUACUAAAGUGUAAUAAAACUGGACCAUACAGUAGAGUUAAAGACUAGUCCGCAGGUUGGAGACCACUGGACUAGAUCAUCACACUAUUAGCUCAGUUUUUAGUUUUUCUUUUCUAUGCAAUAUAUCCAAUAUUGCUUGCGGGACUUUUCACUGCGCCAUCUUGUGGUACUGAGUAAGAAUUACAAUGGAUGUCGCACUGCAAUAAAGCUGUAAUAGCAACGCUG